Molecule: long non-coding RNA, 7862 nt
Filed under: Nicotiana tabacum (common tobacco)
Lineage: Eukaryota; Viridiplantae; Streptophyta; Magnoliopsida; Solanales; Solanaceae
Description: long non-coding RNA (NTAB_LNC018409)
Source: RNAcentral
UCACCCUUCUCCUCCUCCUCGUGUUUUGGUCAAAACAUCAAAAUACCCCCUAUAUAUUUUCAUUUUUUUUUUCUUUUUCCCUCCAACAUCGUCUCUCUCUCUCUCUCUCUGUGCUUUUUCACUCUACACUCCCAGUUGUCUCUCUGCCUUGGUCGAUAAUUUAUACAGAAGAAACGAUGGAAGGUGGUCAACAGUACAAUCCUCGAACAGUUGAAGAAGUUUUUAGAGAUUUCAAGGGUCGUAGAGCUGGCCUUAUUAAAGCUCUUACUACUGGUAUACAACUUAAUUUUGCCCAUUUCCCAUUAAUAUUUGUCUUUUUUCUUGCGGGUUUUUAUUAUUUAAUUUCGGUCGGUCGUGCUUGGAUUUUGCAGAUGUUGAAGAAUUUUACCAGCAGUGCGACCCAGGUAAAAAAAAAAAAAAAACUCAUCUUUUUGCUCCUAUUUUGAAGUCUUGAGCUGCUUUUGCUUCACUUGGUUUAUGCUGCUGCUGUUGUUGUAAUCAUAGGGAUUUCUAAGUUAAGGUACAUUUUUUUUUGUUUCUUUUAUUAAUGAGACUAAAAACUUCACUUAAGUGUACUGCUGGCAAUAGGUGGAGUUAUUGUGGCUUUGGCAACUGUAAUGCUUUGUUAUUGUUUUAUUUAAUACUGCAAUUUUUCCAAUGGUUUUGGCUAAUUAGAUUGAUAUUUAUGCGUCCAUAUUUUUUGACUUAUUGCUAAAGUUCCACUUGUGUAAGCUUCGCAAAGUCAGUUCCUAGGUCCAAUAGAGGAGGAUCUCGGUAGAUUGUUCAUUAAAGUAAAAUAAUCAAAACUCUUAUGAAUCUUAUGAAAAUUGAAUUCGUUUGGAUGUGUUCACCUAAGUGUCUACUACAUAUGUACCUUACUAUAGUUUAUAGGGUAACAUGUUUGAUGAUACUGGUACCCAAAGGUGUGGCUUAGUGGUCAAUGAAGUGGGUUGAGAACCAUGAGGUUUCAAGUUCAAAUCCCAUCGGAGACAAAGAACAUUAGGUGUUUUCUUCCCAUUUGUUCAAGUCUUGGUGGAUAGAGUUACCUAAUACCUGUUUGUGGUGGGAGGUAGCAAGUAUCCCGUAAAAUUAGUCGAGGACGCAAGCUGGCCCGAACACCACAAUUAUAAAAAAAAGGUUUGAUGAUAUUGGUGCUUGGGUGUGAUUUAACACAUAGAAUUAAGUUAAGAUUGUUGAAAUGGAGGAGUGUUACAUGACUCCUAUGUGAUAGGAAAAUAUCUAACAAAACAAAACAUAAGUUGUAUAGCAUGGUUGUGAGACUAGCCGAUGUAUACACGAGAGUGAACAGUGGUCUCUAAGAUCUAACAAAUCCACAAGAUAAAUGUCAUGGAACUACCAACAUUAAGAUGGAUACAUGGUCAUACAAAUAGACAAGAUUAGAAAUUAUCACAUUUAAUAGGUGGUGUGAUAAAACAUAUAUGGACGACAAGGGGAGAGGUCUUGAGAUGGUUUAACCUUGUUUUACAUAGACUUCUUGGUACACCAGUCUCUAGGUUCAUCGUUGUGACGAUUGAAGGUGUUAGAAGGGCAUGGGGUAGACCUAAAAUAACAAAGAGGGAAGACAAAAUCAAUGCAGAUUUAGCUAAGAGCAGAACGUAAUGGAAGCAACAGAUCCAUGUACGCGAUACAACUAGCUGAAAUUGAAAUUAAGAGCUGUACUUACACAGCUAGAUGGAAUUAAUUGUUAGGUUUUGUUGCUAUACUUUGGUUUCAAUGUUUUCCCAGCGCAUUCUUAGUUUGAUUAGCUCUAUAGAGAUAAGUGUAAGAUCUCAUCAGAUUGGAAUGGAUGCAUAGGAUUCAUAUAGCCACCCUUUCUAUAUUUAGGUGUAGCCUAUUGAUUGAUUAAUACUGUUUGUGCUGAAUCUUGUCAUUUGCCAUCGUUGCUUUGUGUUUAUUUUAUGAUGAAAUUGCUUUUAGAGUUCUAAUUAAUCUGUUAUGUUUUCUUUCUUCUGUCAGAUUUUGCUGUUGAUUUUAGUAUUUAGUGUAGUUGGUGGAAGGGUGCCGUAUGGAAUAAUAAGAGUAUUCAAUGUUCUUGAACUACUUUAAAGUUGGGGUUAUAAUCAUUAAGUACUGCUUCUUGUAAUCUUAAUAGCAGGUUGAAUUAGUGAGACAAUGUUGAUACAUAGUAGUCUUCUUCUAUUCAUGCUCUGCCUGUGGCCACACAAGAUUUGUAUGGAGAACUUCUUUUUGAGAAUGAAAAGAUUAAGGACCAAUGUGGAGAACUUUCAUGAGAAAAAAAUGCAAGGAAAUAUUUGUGUGAAGUUAGGGGCGAAGUUGUUUUUAAAUUGUAUAUUCAAACAAUUCAAACUUUAAAAGGGAAUAAAUAGCAAAAUUUUAUAAAGAAAAUGGGGUUGCAGCCUCCAAUCUGCCAGAUCUGUUUCUUUGGUCACAGCCUUUAAUAGCUUUUAUAGUUCAAAUCCGCCAUGUAUUUUUUCGUUUCCUUUUGUAUGCAAGAACUAAUUGUUGUGGAUUCAUGUGUUCAAAUUGUGUUUUGUCAUGAAUAGUUGUGAAUGGGAUCUCAAACCUUUUCAGAACUAUUUGAAUCUAUCAUUAGAAGACGGAUGCCUUGUAUACUUAUCCUUUUUUGUUUCAUUUGGUUUAGAAGGCGGGUGGAGUUAUGUAUCUAGUUGUAGCAUAGUUCACUGUGAGGCGACUGGAUGAGUUACUGCAUCAUUCUAUAGUAUAGUUUAGUCGAUGAAUUUAAUUAUUUAUAUGCGAAGUUGCAUUUUGACAGGAUGUGUUAGCUGCUGUAUUGUAACAGAUGUUGUAGUCAAUAUAGUAGUAAAUAGAGUUGGCUGUAUUACUUUGGUCUUUAAUGUCUAAACUUUGAAGUCAUAAUACUGGGCCCGAGAUUAUGAAUAGCCGUUCUUCUUUGGCUUUUUGCCUUUUUUUUUUUGAGAAGAGCUUUUUGCCAAUUUCUUUGGUUUACUUAUUAAUUAUACUAUAUAGCUUGAGGAUAAUUCUGGAAUGGGGACAAAGUUCCUCGUACUAAUUGUUAGAAUUAUUUAUGGUAGGCAUUUGAUCUUUGAGAAAACUUCUAACUUAUGAUGUUUUUAGCACCAUUCAGCGUUAAAGAAACAAUUUUGGAACACGAUGAAAAUGGUUUCCAGCUAUAACAGUAUCUUAAUGUUCUCUUGUUUGGUUUUAUGUGUGGGCUUCCGUAUUCUACAAAUAAGCAGCAUCUUUUUACCCUGCUCUGUUUUUGGGUGUUCAAGUAUGAAAAUUUACUAUGAUUAUAUUUGGAUGUACAUUUUGGAUUGGUUUUGGCAUAAACCCUAUAUCCUGAAUCUUGGAAGAGGAAAUUAGUCAGUGUUGGACUAGAAAAGCAUAUGAUACAGCAGCUAAACACAUUUUCCGCUAUCUGCUAUCCUGUUUUGAGAUUACGUGAUUUGAUACGAAAAGUUCUUGCUUGCCCUGUUUUAAGAUUUUUGUUUGUUUUGCGGAUUAUGGUCCAGACUGUCUAGAUAAAAAAUGAAGCAGCUGGUCAAGAUAACUCCUUUAUGCGACAUUCCUCAUCUAAGCUAAUACUUGUGCUAGUCAAACAUGUCGCGCAUCUGGCGAGCAAUCUUCAUCUUGUACAAACAUUGCAAGUCACCAUUUGCUAUUUGAAGGAAGAUGGAUACAUUUUUGGCUCCUCUCUUAUCCCUACGUCCCUCCCUUCCUCUAUCCUCCUCUCUUUCUCAAACAUGACGAAGAUGAUUUUCGAUUGAAGUGUCAUAUUAUCUCUAUUAUUUUUUUAGUUCUGUGCUAAUGGCACAUAUCAUACUUAUAGUUGCAUUAGUAGAUUUAUUACUCUUCCUGAAGUUGUCUUCUGCAUUUUUUCAAGGUUGUUCAGACUCUUGGUGGUUGCAUGAUGUCUCGAAGUACCUUCUCAUCUACUGCAAUAUUUGACUUUUAUAUAUCCCCACGCCCUAAGCUCAACAUUUUAUUUUGAAGGGAACAAUUUAUGAUUCAGUUCUCACUGAAUUGCAGAAAAGGAAAAUCUUUGCCUCUAUGGAUUUCCAAGUGAACAGUGGGAAGUCAAUCUACCAGCUGAGGAAGUGCCCCCAGAGCUUCCAGAGCCUGCUCUGGGCAUUAACUUUGCCCGUGAUGGCAUGCAAGAGAAGGACUGGCUAUCUUUGGUUGCUGUGCAUAGUGAUGCAUGGUUACUUGCUGUUGCAUUUUAUUUUGGCGCUAGGUUUGGUUUCGAUAGAGCUGAUAGGUAUGUUUUCUCUUUUCUCUUUGAUUUCAUCUGUUUUAGCUCAAACCAAUUGUCUAAAUUGCAAAUUGGAGCCUUAACCAGUGUUGCAAAAUUAGAAAAAACUUGUUUUGAUGGGUAAAGCUAGAACCUAAAAGGUGACAUUUUUACAUAUAGUUCUUGAAUUUUCCACUGGUACACUUUUAACUGUGUCCUCUACUGUUUUAUCUAUUACUCUUUUAUGACUAUAUGGCUUGUUAAUAUGGUUGUUUGCUAUAUAUUUUAGCUUGUCCUUUACUUCCACAUUUGGAUACAAUUUCUCAUGAUAUACAUAGAGUAACUGUUUAUUUCUUCUGCUGAGGCAAAUUUAGAUGAUGGCCCUGUUCUAGUUUUCCUUUUAGAUAUUGGAAUAUUCUAGACUAGCAAUUCCUUAUCUUCUCAUUGCUCCCUUUUUUAUGGAUAAUGUUAAUUCUCGUUGUUCCUUAUUGCAAGUAAGUUAGUAAAAUAGCAGAGUUUACUUAAUUGAAUUUGUACUGCUGUUCAUGAUAUAUAACAUUAGUGGUAGGCAGAGGUGGAUCCAGGAUUUGAAGGUUCUGGGUGUCAUAUUGCUUUGAACUUUGACUUAGUCUCUUUUGAGUUUCGGUUCAGGUUAUUCGCCUUUUUGGUUUAUAUAGACAAAUCGAUCAAAUAAAAUAGUAUAAUAAUUAUGGCGAGCAAAGCAUAAAACUUCAAUAAUAUAACUAAUAUCAACAAAAAAUUAGUAUUAUUCCUUUACAAUUGUAUUUGACAAAUUUUCAUAUUCUAAAGUUAAGGUUUGACUAAAGGAUGGAAAAAUAGGACUAAAACUUGCUAUAGGUGCAUAUUUAGAUACUCAAAGCAAAAACUUACUUAACAAACACUAAAAAAACAAUAAUUUUAGGGCAGAAUAGAAGAAAGAACUUAUAAAAUUUAAAAAGUCAAUAGAAACUCAUAAGGAAAAAAGAGUCAGCAUCAAUUGAAGAAAAGGAAAGAAGAAGAAACAAGGAAAGGAAAGAAAAGAAGCAGCAACAAAGAAAAAGAAAAGAAGAAAAAAGGAGAACAAAUCUCCUGUAAGGGACGAACAGAAUUAUUAGAAAAAAGCAAUAGCCUGGGCUCGAUCCCAGGCCAAGAAGGUGAAUCUGUAAGCCCUGAGCCAGUGGCACCAAGCAAUCCUUUAUUACUGCGGGUGCCACUUAACUUAUUUAUACGAAUUUCUAUAAUAUACAUACAUAUACAUAUAGUGAUUCGACCGAGGUGUGCGGGUGGCGUGCCACCCCCUUCCUCCUUAGUAGAUCCGCCCCUGGUGGUAGGCAGAGCAAGAGCUUUCGGUUUUCUAGACUAUGCUAUUGUGCAUCUGCUGCAUAUUAAGAGUUGGAUUAUGCUUUUACUCAAUUUAUUUUAGUUAGAUAACCAAUCAAAAAAAAUUGUUACAGUGACAUAAAUUCGUCAUGUGUAACAGUUAGAAUAAUAAAUCGAAGAGGUGAGCAACUAGAAUGCUAUGUACUUAAGAUUUAUUACCCAUAAAGUAUGAAAGAUACUUUAUGGACAAUGCAAAUUUACCUAUAUGAAAUUGUCUUCGGCUCAUCUCAAUCGGUGACGGGCCACUGAUGAAGCCAGUUGUGCCAAGGAACAGGUAUCUUUAUAGGAGUAUAAAUUAUGUCCAGAUCAGCAGUGACUACUUUAUUUAUUGGAGUAAAUGAUGAAGGUACCCACUAUCAGAGCCUCAGAGGGCAUUACAAUGACAGCUUUAAUGUGAUUGUUGUUUGAGCGGGUGCCAUGAAACUCGAAAGCACAUGCAGAAUAAGCAGAUAUUUCAGGUGACAGUGUAAAAGUGGGUCCGGUAACUGCAGUUUAACAUAAAGAUUUAACUUGUUGGUACAAGUGCAAAACCUCUCGAUGAAGGAGAAUUUAUCCAGAGGAACAUAGAAAUCAGUACUUAGAGGGGUGGCCCCUCACAGUCCAAAAAGGCAAUAAAAGGUUAUCAUAGUUGAAUGUCACAGUCCAAUUUGUUGAUCUUGUUUCCUGCAUUGGGCAUCCUAAGUAAAACUCAUUGUUUGCUUCAUAUUGUACUUAUAAAAUGUGCACUGCUUUCUUUUCCCAUGCUUAUUUACAUCGUUGUUUUGUUCCUUGAAGUAAUUUUCAUUUUUCUAUGUUGCAACACUUUAAAUAUAUCACAGCAUUAUUACCUAAGAAUGUGACCUAAAAGAAAAAAAAUUCUGGGAAAUGACUUGAAGUUACAUGCAACGUAAGGCAAAUUAACAAUCUUGUACACAUAAACCUGCUUGGCAUACUUGCAGACUAACUUGUGUUUUUCUUUUCUUUUUCAGUUUAACCAUAUUUACUGAGCAGCCAUUUUUUAUGUUGGGUUGCAGGAGAAGAUUGUUCAAUAUGAUAAACGAUCUUCCCACCAUUUUUGAGGUUGUGUCUGGGACAGCCAAGAAACAAUCAAAAGAGAAAUCAUCAAUGUCAAAUCACAGCAGCACCAAGUCUAAGUCAAAUUCCAAGGUAAUCCUUAUAGUUUCUUCAUCCCAUUCUCCCUUUUAGCCUGUCCAUUGGAUGUUUUUCCUCUUUCCUUUUGUUGCUCGAAUGACUGCCUAGCUGUGCGUGUACUUGGUGUGUUUGCUGACAUCAAUAUUUGCCUAUUCACUCGCCUAAGGUUCUUGGAUGACAGGGUUUUAAGUUUUAGAUUUACGAUUUUGGUACUUACUAAAGAAGAUCUAUUUCGUGGUCACAGAUUAUUUCAGCUGUCUUCAGACAAUUCUAUUCGAAUUUCAGGGUUUUUAAAUUUUUGAAUCAUUGGAGCGCGGCUAACAUUCUUUAGGCAUGUGUACAAUUUUAUGUUUCAAGUUUAACAUUGUAGUAGAAUCAUGCUCUCUGGUACGUUAAGAUUCUACAUAAGCAAAAUUUCUUCACUUCUAGUCGUAUUCAUUACUCAUUAGUAACAAAUGCUAAUAACAAGUAGGGGUGGCAAACGGGCGGGUUGGAUUAGAUUGGAUAUGGGCGGGUUGAAAACGGUAAAUAUCUUCCCCGAUCCAUAUUUAAUACGAAUAGNNNNNNNNNNNNNNNNNNNNNNNNNCUCUCUCUCUCUCUCUCUCUCUCUCUCUCUCUCUCUCUCUCUCUCUCUCUCUCUCUCUCUCUCUCUCUCUCUCGGGGGCUUGUUGUCCUGGUAUGAAUUCUAAGAAUUGUUUGUGGAUUUAUUGUUAGCUUUGCCUAGUUUACAUAAUCUGAUUCUGCUCGUAGGCGGCACAGCUUGGCUCUGAACCGCCACCCAAGUACUCAAGACCACAACCGAAAGAUGAGGAUGAAGAUGGUUUGGAAGAGGAGGAAGUUGACGAGCAAGGAGAAACAUUAUGUGGUGCUUGCGGUGAGAACUAUGCAUCUGACGAGUUCUGGAUCUGCUGUGACGUAUGUGAGAAAUGGUUCCAUGGGAAAUGCGUUAAGAUCACUCCAGCUAGGGCCGAACAUAUCAAGCAGUACAAAUGCCCCGCCUGCAGCAACAAGAGAGCACGCACCUGAUUGUAAGGUCACCAGGCUCACACUUUAUCAGGGAAUUAUUAACAAGAUCAUUUUCUAAUCUGAGGAAAUCUCUUUUCGAGAAGCUUGAAAAAGUCAUAGGUAUUGUUUCUAGGUUGCUAUGUUGUCCAGU